UACAGAGGUCUCAAGCGUUGUUCGGAUUCAUUGGGCGUAAAGGGUGCGUAGGUGGCGCCGUAAGUCAGGUGUGAAAUUUCGGAGCUUAACUCCGAAACUGCAUUUGAUACUGCGGUGCUUGAGGACUGGAGAGGAGACUGGAAUUCACGGUGUAGCAGUGAAAUGCGUAGAGAUCGUGAGGAAGACCAGUGGCGAAGGCGGGUCUCUGGACAGUUCCUGACACUGAGGCACGAAGGCCAGGGGAGCAAACGGG
Molecule: ribosomal RNA, 253 nt
Filed under: uncultured bacterium
Lineage: Bacteria
Description: partial 16S ribosomal RNA
Rfam family: Bacterial small subunit ribosomal RNA
Source: RNAcentral